AGAACGAACGCUGGCGGCAGGCUUAACACAUGCAAGUCGAGCGCCCCGCAAGGGGAGCGGCAGACGGGUGAGUAACGCGUGGGAACAUACCCUCCGGUUCGGAAUAGCUCAGGGAAACUUGGAUUAAUACCGGAUAAGCCCUUACGGGGAAAGAUUUAUCGCCAAAGGAUCGGCCCGCGUCUGAUUAGCUAGUUGGUGAGGUAACGGCUCACCAAGGCGACGAUCAGUAGCUGGUCUGAGAGGAUGAUCAGCCUCACUGGGACUGAGACACGGCCCAGACUCCUACGGGAGGCAGCAGUGGGGAAUAUUGGACAAUGGGCGCAAGCCUGAUCCAGCCAUGCCGCGUGGAUGAUGAAGGCCCUAGGGUUGUAAAGUCCUUUCGGCGGGGAAGAUAAUGACGGUACCCGCAGAAGAAGCCCCGGCUAACUUCGUGCCAGCAGCCGC
This 444-nucleotide ribosomal RNA is filed under the name uncultured bacterium. RNAcentral's name for it is "SSU rRNA". It matches the Rfam family "Bacterial small subunit ribosomal RNA", at positions 26 to 518 of the family's 1533-position model. The record is from RNAcentral.